AAAUUACAAAAUGUUAGAUAAACUGUAACCCAUAUUUCUGAAAGAAGGCUGGAUUAAAAGUGCUGACCCAGCAACACUUCUCGGACUGGAACUUGGAGGACGUGCAAUUUCCUGAGGAGGAACGUAAAGGGAUAACGAAGUGCGCUUUCCCUCUACGCGGAAUUAUUGGAUCGCCACGCGAACCUCGCAUACGAAUGCGACGUUAAUAUCUGUAAGCUAUCUCUCUCUCUUUCUCUCUCUCUCUCUCUCAUUUACGAGAGGGAUGGUUCGAGCUUUUAAUUAAGUCUAACGCGGCCGCCGUAAAGGCGAAGAACGCGCGUUACGAGCGACGCCACCUAUGCCACUGACCAUUGUCUCGCUUACGUUAGUCAUACAAAUACAGAAUAAGUGUGUGCGCGCGUGCACACACGUACGAAGGGGAGGUCAUGACGACGACGACGACGACGACGACGACGACGACGACGACGACGACGACGACGACGACGACGGCGACGACGACGAUGGCGACGACGACGACGACGAUGGCGACGACGACGAGGGUACCUGUGGCGGCUGCUAUGGGCGUCGAGGACGUUGCACUGAACCGCUUCGCCCCGUGAGAACGACGGGAGCACAGAAAGAACGGUGGAACGAGCGAAUACGUGUGGAAAAUGCGAUUGCUGGAAAGGAGACGCGACGCUCUCGACGACGUGCCGCUAUUUUGCGUACGCUCGUCACCCAGAGUGGGAAAGAAGGAAGGAUGGAAAGCGGAGGGUGGAAACGCCAAGAGCUUCUACAAUGAAAGGACUUUACGAUCAAUCACCACUGAAGUAUCCAGAGUAAUCAUACAAAUUGUUCGUAUAAAUAACUCGACACUCUUAUACUACUACGUAUAGUAUAAACUCGAGAAUAUCGAUUUCGUUCUUUCCAUAGACUGCUCCGUAAUAUCGACUGAAAUUUCAAUCUGUCUCAAGUGGAAACGUAAACGGGGUAGAAGGGAGGGAGCGAGGGGAAAGAGAUAGUAAAUUGGAGGCCUUAAAGCACGUUCGAACGUUAGAUAGGAGAAAUUAUCGAGUUGUGAAUCAUUGCUUCGAGAACGUCCGUGAGUAGGGCCAGAUAGACGCGUCGCGGGAGAGAAAGGAAAGGGCAGAAGAGGAUAAGAAGGAGGGUUGGGAGACGCGCAACAGUGUUUACACUUGGCGGUCAAUGAACGCCAUCCAUGAUCUCGGAAACCAGACCACGAACGUCUGUCUUUAUCUUUUCCUCUCUUUCUCUAACGUCCUAGAUUAUUUUAUAUUAUCUUUAUUUUCUUCUUUCAUAACUUUUCCCAAAAACGAUAUAAUCGUUUUCUUCGAUUCUAUUUUUUUUUCCUC
Molecule: long non-coding RNA, 1352 nt
Organism: Vespa crabro (European hornet)
Lineage: Eukaryota; Metazoa; Arthropoda; Insecta; Hymenoptera; Vespidae
Exons: 3
Source: RefSeq, a predicted model, not a curated record